AGCUUGCUCCCUGAUGUUAGCGGCGGACGGGUGAGUAACACGUGGGUAACCUGCCUGUAAGACUGGGAUAACUCCGGGAAACCGGGGCUAAUACCGGAUGGUUGUCUGAACCGCAUGGUUCAGACAUAAAAGGUGGCUUCGGCUACCACUUACAGAUGGACCCGCGGCGCAUUAGCUAGUUGGUGAGGUAACGGCUCACCAAGGCGACGAUGCGUAGCCGACCUGAGAGGGUGAUCGGCCACACUGGGACUGAGACACGGCCCAGACUCCUACGGGAGGCAGCAGUAGGGAAUCUUCCGCAAUGGACGAAAGUCUGACGGAGCAACGCCGCGUGAGUGAUGAAGGUUUUCGGAUCGUAAAGCUCUGUUGUUAGGGAAGAACAAGUGCCGUUCAAAUAGGGCGGCACCUUGACGGUACCUAACCAGAAAGCCACGGCUAACUACGUGCCAGCAGCCGCGGUAAUACGUAGGUGGCAAGCGUUGUCCGGAAUUAUUGGGCGUAAAGGGCUCGCAGGCGGUUUCUUAAGUCUGAUGUGAAAGCCCCCGGCUCAACCGGGGAGGGUCAUUGGAAACUGGGGAACUUGAGUGCAGAAGAGGAGAGUGGAAUUCCACGUGUAGCGGUGAAAUGCGUAGAGAUGUGGAGGAACACCAGUGGCGAAGGCGACUCUCUGGUCUGUAACUGACGCUGAGGAGCGAAAGCGUGGGGAGCGAACAGGAUUAGAUACCCUGGUAGUCCACGCCGUAAACGAUGAGUGCUAAGUGUUAGGGGGUUUCCGCCCCUUAGUGCUGCAGCUAACGCAUUAAGCACUCCGCCUGGGGAGUACGGUCGCAAGACUGAAACUCAAAGGAAUUGACGGGGGCCCGCACAAGCGGUGGAGCAUGUGGUUUAAUUCAAAGCAACGCGAAGAACCUUACCAGGUCUUGACAUCCUCUGACAAUCCUAGAGAUAGGACGUCCCCUUCGGGGGCAGAGUGACAAGUGGUGCAUGGUUGUCGUCAGCUCGUGUCGUGAGAUGUUGGGUUAAGUCCCGCA
This 1031-nucleotide ribosomal RNA is filed under the name Bacillus velezensis. RNAcentral's name for it is "bacterial SSU rRNA". It matches the Rfam family "Bacterial small subunit ribosomal RNA", at positions 77 to 1091 of the family's 1533-position model. The record is from RNAcentral. Lineage: Bacteria; Bacillati; Bacillota; Bacilli; Caryophanales; Bacillaceae.